This 744-nucleotide ribosomal RNA is filed under the name uncultured bacterium. RNAcentral's name for it is "bacterial SSU rRNA". It matches the Rfam family "Bacterial small subunit ribosomal RNA", at positions 8 to 744 of the family's 1533-position model. The record is from RNAcentral.
AGAGUUUGAUCCUGGCUCAGAUUGAACGCUGGCGGCAUGCUUUACACAUGCAAGUCGAACGGCAGCACGGGGGCAACCCUGGUGGCGAGUGGCGAACGGGUGAGUAAUAUAUCGGAACGUACCCGGAUAUGGGGGAUAACGUAGCGAAAGUUACGCUAAUACCGCAUAUGCCCUAAGGGGGAAAGCGGGGGAUUCGCAAGAACCUCGCGUUUUCGGAGCGGCCGAUAUCGGAUUAACUAGUAGGUGAGGUAAAGGCUCACCUAGGCGACGAUCCGUAGCUGGUCUGAGAGGACGACCAGCCACACUGGAACUGAGACACGGUCCAGACUCCUACGGGAGGCAGCAGUGGGGAAUUUUGGACAAUGGGCGCAAGCCUGAUCCAGCCAUGCCGCGUGAGUGAAGAAGGCCUUCGGGUUGUAAAGCUCUUUCAGCCGGAAAGAAAACGCACGGGUUAAUAACCUGUGUGGAUGACGGUACCGGAAGAAGAAGCACCGGCUAACUACGUGCCAGCAGCCGCGGUAAUACGUAGGGUGCGAGCGUUAAUCGGAAUUACUGGGCGUAAAGCGUGCGCAGGCGGUUUUGUAAGACAGAUGUGAAAUCCCCGGGCUUAACCUGGGAACUGCAUUUGUAACUGCAAGGCUAGAGUACGGCAGAGGGGGGUAGAAUUCCACGUGUAGCAGUGAAAUGCGUAGAUAUGUGGAAGGAAUACCGAUGGCGAAGGCAGCCCCCUGGGUCGAUACUGAC